RNAcentral lists this ribosomal RNA (118 nucleotides) under Periophthalmus magnuspinnatus. The record is from RNAcentral. Lineage: Eukaryota; Metazoa; Chordata; Actinopteri; Gobiiformes; Gobiidae.
UGUAGUGGCCACACCGGUUUAUCAAAACUUGAUCUCGUCAGUUCUCAGAAGCUAAGCAAGGCCAGGCCUGGUUAGUACUUGGAUGGGAGAUUGUUGGGAAAAUCAGGUGCCACAGUGG